RNAcentral lists this unclassified non-coding RNA (297 nucleotides) under uncultured fungus. RNAcentral describes it as "partial contains small subunit ribosomal RNA, internal transcribed spacer 1, and 5.8S ribosomal RNA". The stretch from base 1 to 73 matches the Rfam family "Eukaryotic small subunit ribosomal RNA", at positions 1759 to 1831 of the family's 1831-position model. Lineage: Eukaryota; Fungi. The record is from RNAcentral.
UCAAACUUGGUCAUUUAGAGGAAGUAAAAGUCGUAACAAGGUUUCCGUAGGUGAACCUGCGGAAGGAUCAUUAACGAAUAUCAGAGGGUCAAGGAUGCUGCUGGCUGAACAAGCAUUGUGCACUCCUCGAUCUUUGUCCUUUCUCUCACACCCUGUGCACCUAUUGUAGGUUCAAACGAACCUAUGUUUUCAUUUUACUCUGAUGCAUGUAUUUGUGAAUGUAUUGUAUUUGUCUGGUAACAGAGUACAACUUUCAACAAUGGAUCUCUUGGCUCUCGCAUCGAUGAAGAACGCAGC